AUUGAACGCUGGCGGCAUGCUUUACACAUGCAAGUCGAACGGUAACAGGCCGCAAGGUGCUGACGAGUGGCGCACGGGUGAGUAAUGCAUCGGAACGUGCCCAGUCGUGGGGGUUAACUACUCGAAAGAGUAGCUAAUACCGCAUACGAUCUAUGGAUGAAAGCGGGGGACCGUAAGGCCUCGCGCGAUUGGAGCGGCCGAUGUCCGAUUAGGUAGUUGGUGGGGUAAAGGCUCACCAAGCCAACGAUCUGUAGCUGGUCUGAGAGGACAACCAGCCACACUGGGACUGAGACACGGCCCAGACUCCUACGGGAGGCAGCAGUGGGGAAUUUUGGACAAUGGGCGCAAGCCUGAUCCAGCAAUGCCGCGUGCAGGAAGAAGGCCUUCGGGUUGUAAACUGCUUUUGUACGGAACGAAACGGCUCUGGUUAAUACCCGGGGCUAAUGACGGUACCGGAAGAAUAAGCACCGGCUAACUACGUG
RNAcentral lists this ribosomal RNA (482 nucleotides) under uncultured bacterium. RNAcentral describes it as "partial 16S ribosomal RNA". It matches the Rfam family "Bacterial small subunit ribosomal RNA", at positions 30 to 507 of the family's 1533-position model. The record is from RNAcentral.